RNAcentral lists this small RNA (763 nucleotides) under Pan troglodytes (chimpanzee). RNAcentral describes it as "retained intron". Lineage: Eukaryota; Metazoa; Chordata; Mammalia; Primates; Hominidae. The record is from RNAcentral.
ACAAUGGGAGUGGGGUAGGAGUUCUACAGUGUCUCGAGCAUAUGAUUGGGGCAGUGAGAAGCAAAGUGCUGGAGAUUCACAGCCAUUUCCCACACAAACCCAUUAUCUUGAUUGGCUGGAACACAGGAGCUUUGGUGGCCUGUCAUGUGUCAGUAAUGGAGUAUGUCACUGCAGUUGUCUGCCUUGGGUUUCCUCUGCUUACUGUGGAUGGCCCCAGAGGGGAUGUAGAUGAUCCCCUCUUGGAUAUGAAGACUCCAGUCCUCUUUGUCAUUGGUCAGAAUUCCCUUCAAUGUCACCCUGAAGCCAUGGAGGACUUCCGGGAGAAGAUUCGAGCUGAGAACAGCUUGGUGGUGGUUGGGGGAGCUGAUGACAAUCUCAGGUGGGUGGAUUCUCCCAGAGCUGCAAGAGAGCUGUGUUACAGUGUUAGAGAUAAGCCUGUAAGCUGGCAAUGUAACUACAGACCAGUCUGGUUCAGUUAAAAGACAGCAUUAGCCGGGCGCGGUGGCUCACGCCUGUAAUCCCAGGACUUUGGGAGGCUGAGGCAGGCGGAUCACGAGGUCAGGAGAUUGAGACCAUCCUGGCUAACACGGUGAAACCCCGUCUCUACUAAAAAUACAAAAAAUUAGCCGGGCGUGGUGUCGGGUGCCUGUAGUCCCAGCUACUCGGGAGGCUGAGGCAGGAGAAUGGUGUGAACCCAGAAGGCGGAGCUUGCAGUGAGCCGAGAUCCUGCCACUGCACUCCAGCCUGGGUGACAGAGCAAGAC